Molecule: non-coding RNA, 1540 nt
Organism: Klebsiella pneumoniae ISC21
Lineage: Bacteria; Pseudomonadati; Pseudomonadota; Gammaproteobacteria; Enterobacterales; Enterobacteriaceae
Source: Rfam
AAAUUGAAGAGUUUGAUCAUGGCUCAGAUUGAACGCUGGCGGCAGGCCUAACACAUGCAAGUCGAGCGGUAGCACAGAGAGCUUGCUCUCGGGUGACGAGCGGCGGACGGGUGAGUAAUGUCUGGGAAACUGCCUGAUGGAGGGGGAUAACUACUGGAAACGGUAGCUAAUACCGCAUAAUGUCGCAAGACCAAAGUGGGGGACCUUCGGGCCUCAUGCCAUCAGAUGUGCCCAGAUGGGAUUAGCUAGUAGGUGGGGUAACGGCUCACCUAGGCGACGAUCCCUAGCUGGUCUGAGAGGAUGACCAGCCACACUGGAACUGAGACACGGUCCAGACUCCUACGGGAGGCAGCAGUGGGGAAUAUUGCACAAUGGGCGCAAGCCUGAUGCAGCCAUGCCGCGUGUGUGAAGAAGGCCUUCGGGUUGUAAAGCACUUUCAGCGGGGAGGAAGGCGAUAAGGUUAAUAACCUUGUCGAUUGACGUUACCCGCAGAAGAAGCACCGGCUAACUCCGUGCCAGCAGCCGCGGUAAUACGGAGGGUGCAAGCGUUAAUCGGAAUUACUGGGCGUAAAGCGCACGCAGGCGGUCUGUCAAGUCGGAUGUGAAAUCCCCGGGCUCAACCUGGGAACUGCAUUCGAAACUGGCAGGCUAGAGUCUUGUAGAGGGGGGUAGAAUUCCAGGUGUAGCGGUGAAAUGCGUAGAGAUCUGGAGGAAUACCGGUGGCGAAGGCGGCCCCCUGGACAAAGACUGACGCUCAGGUGCGAAAGCGUGGGGAGCAAACAGGAUUAGAUACCCUGGUAGUCCACGCCGUAAACGAUGUCGAUUUGGAGGUUGUGCCCUUGAGGCGUGGCUUCCGGAGCUAACGCGUUAAAUCGACCGCCUGGGGAGUACGGCCGCAAGGUUAAAACUCAAAUGAAUUGACGGGGGCCCGCACAAGCGGUGGAGCAUGUGGUUUAAUUCGAUGCAACGCGAAGAACCUUACCUGGUCUUGACAUCCACAGAACUUUCCAGAGAUGGAUUGGUGCCUUCGGGAACUGUGAGACAGGUGCUGCAUGGCUGUCGUCAGCUCGUGUUGUGAAAUGUUGGGUUAAGUCCCGCAACGAGCGCAACCCUUAUCCUUUGUUGCCAGCGGUCCGGCCGGGAACUCAAAGGAGACUGCCAGUGAUAAACUGGAGGAAGGUGGGGAUGACGUCAAGUCAUCAUGGCCCUUACGACCAGGGCUACACACGUGCUACAAUGGCAUAUACAAAGAGAAGCGACCUCGCGAGAGCAAGCGGACCUCAUAAAGUAUGUCGUAGUCCGGAUUGGAGUCUGCAACUCGACUCCAUGAAGUCGGAAUCGCUAGUAAUCGUAGAUCAGAAUGCUACGGUGAAUACGUUCCCGGGCCUUGUACACACCGCCCGUCACACCAUGGGAGUGGGUUGCAAAAGAAGUAGGUAGCUUAACCUUCGGGAGGGCGCUUACCACUUUGUGAUUCAUGACUGGGGUGAAGUCGUAACAAGGUAACCGUAGGGGAACCUGCGGUUGGAUCACCUCCUUA